GUUGUUUAGUUGAAAAUUAAUUAAAUAAUUUUUGAUUUUGAGUAGUAUUGACUUCAUCAGCUUGCUGCUCUCUUUUCGGAAAUUAUUUAAUGCACUUUUCAGUUAACAAGUCAACAUCAAUUUCUUUUGUUGUAAAAGGGUAAGAGGAAGGUGGCUUACAUUUCGGUGUAAGUGUUUAUAGCCUUUUACCUCUGCAAUCGGAGAGAUUGAGGUCAGCAGCGUAGACUCUUCGGGGUUAGAUACGCUUGUGCUAAGCUAUAGCCUUGUAUAGACAACUUGUUGACUAUACUCAGUCAUGUAGCUUACUCGCUUGUAGUAUUUUACCUAC
RNAcentral lists this ribosomal RNA (328 nucleotides) under uncultured Neocallimastigales. RNAcentral describes it as "partial large subunit ribosomal RNA". The record is from RNAcentral. Lineage: Eukaryota; Fungi; Neocallimastigomycota; Neocallimastigomycetes; Neocallimastigales.